Molecule: transfer RNA, 74 nt
Filed under: Caudoviricetes sp.
Lineage: Duplodnaviria; Heunggongvirae; Uroviricota; Caudoviricetes
Description: tRNA-Pro
Rfam family: tRNA
About the family: Transfer RNA (tRNA) molecules are approximately 80 nucleotides in length.
Source: RNAcentral
CUCGGAUUAGCUCAGUCUGGUAGAGCGCUGGUUUUGGGAAUCAGAGGCCAAAGUUUCAAAUACUUUAUCCGAGA